Small nuclear RNA from Calliphora vicina (urban bluebottle blowfly), 117 nucleotides. RefSeq annotates it as U5 spliceosomal RNA. The record is from RefSeq and is a predicted model, not a curated record. NCBI's taxonomy places the organism in Eukaryota, Metazoa, Arthropoda, Insecta, Diptera, Calliphoridae. The transcript has a single exon.
UUACUCAGGCUUCUCUUCAAUUGUCGUACAAAUCUUUCGCCUUUUACUAAAGAUUUCCGUGGAGAGGAGCACAUUAAUGAUUUUAACCCAUUUAUUUUUUCACAAGCUCUCUUGUAA